UCUGGUUCAGAACGAACGCUGGCGGCGUGCUUAACACAUGCAAGUCGAACGCGAAAGGGACUUCGGUCCUGAGUAAAGUGGCGCACGGGUGAGUAACGCGUAGAUAACCUGUCUUCAUGUCUGGAAUAAUACGCCGAAAGGGGUACUAAUACCGGAUAUUCUUGCUUUUCAUAAGUUAUGCAAGCAAAGGUGGCCUCUGCAUAUGCUACUGCAUGAAGAGGGGUCUGCGUACCAUUAGCUAGUAGGUGGGGUAAUGGCCUACCUAGGCGACGAUGGUUAGCGGGUCUGAGAGGGUGAUCCGCCACACUGGCACUGGAACACGGGCCAGACUCCUACGGGAGGCAGCAGUGAGGAAUAUUGCGCAAUGGGGGAAACCCUGACGCAGCGACGCCGCGUGAGUGAGGAAGGCCUUCGGGUCGUAAAGCUCUGUCAAGAGGAAAGAAGUGUACAAUGGCUAAUACCUGUUGUAUUUGACGGUACCUCUAAAGGAAGCACCGGCUAACUCCGUGCCAGCCGCCGC
Molecule: ribosomal RNA, 520 nt
Filed under: uncultured bacterium
Lineage: Bacteria
Description: bacterial SSU rRNA
Rfam family: Bacterial small subunit ribosomal RNA
Source: RNAcentral